GCUUACGGCCAUACCACCCUGAACACGCCCGAUCUCGUCUGAUCUCGGAAGCUAAGCAGGGUCGGGCCUGGUCAGUACUUGGAUGGGAGACCGCCUGGGAAUCCGGUUGUUCAGUC
Molecule: ribosomal RNA, 116 nt
Filed under: Haplochromis burtoni (Burton's mouthbrooder)
Lineage: Eukaryota; Metazoa; Chordata; Actinopteri; Cichliformes; Cichlidae
Source: RNAcentral